RNAcentral lists this ribosomal RNA (1351 nucleotides) under Staphylococcus pseudintermedius. RNAcentral's name for it is "partial 23S ribosomal RNA". It matches the Rfam family "Bacterial large subunit ribosomal RNA", at positions 1570 to 2925 of the family's 2925-position model. Lineage: Bacteria; Bacillati; Bacillota; Bacilli; Caryophanales; Staphylococcaceae. The record is from RNAcentral.
GAGAGGAACUUGUUCCUCGAGUCGUUGAUUUCACACUGCCGAGAAAAGCCUCUAGCUAGAAUAACGGUGCCCGUACCGCAAACCGACACAGGUAGUCAAGAUGAGAAUUCUAAGGUGAGCGAGCGAACUCUCGUUAAGGAACUCGGCAAAAUGACCCCGUAACUUCGGGAGAAGGGGUGCUCUUUGAGGUUCACGCUUCGAAGAGCCGCAGUGAAUAGGCCCAAGCGACUGUUUAUCAAAAACACAGGUCUCUGCUAAACCGUAAGGUGACGUAUAGGGGCUGACGCCUGCCCGGUGCUGGAAGGUUAAGAGGAGUGGUUAGCGCAAGCGAAGCUACGAAUCGAAGCCCCAGUAAACGGCGGCCGUAACUAUAACGGUCCUAAGGUAGCGAAAUUCCUUGUCGGGUAAGUUCCGACCCGCACGAAAGGCGUAACGAUUUGGGCACUGUCUCAACGAGAGACUCGGUGAAAUCAUAGUACCGGUGAAGAUGCCGGUUACCCGCGACAGGACGGAAAGACCCCGUGGAGCUUUACUGUAGCCUGAUAUUGAAAUUCGGUACAGUUUGUACAGGAUAGGUAGGAGCCUUAGAAGCGUGAGCGCUAGCUUACGUGGAGGCAUUGGUGGGAUACUACCCUAAUUGUAUUGGAUUUCUAACCCGCAGCACUUAUCGUGCUGGGAGACAGUGUCAGGCGGGCAGUUUGACUGGGGCGGUCGCCUCCUAAAGAGUAACGGAGGCGCUCAAAGGUUCCCUCAGAAUGGUUGGAAAUCAUUCAUAGAGUGUAAAGGCAUAAGGGAGCUUGACUGCGAGACCUACAAGUCGAGCAGGGUCGAAAGACGGACUUAGUGAUCCGGUGGUUCCGCAUGGAAGGGCCAUCGCUCAACGGAUAAAAGCUACCCCGGGGAUAACAGGCUUAUCUCCCCCAAGAGUUCACAUCGACGGGGAGGUUUGGCACCUCGAUGUCGGCUCAUCGCAUCCUGGGGCUGUAGUCGGUCCCAAGGGUUGGGCUGUUCGCCCAUUAAAGCGGUACGCGAGCUGGGUUCAGAACGUCGUGAGACAGUUCGGUCCCUAUCCGUCGUGGGCGUAGGAAAUUUGAGAGGAGCUGUCCUUAGUACGAGAGGACCGGGAUGGACAUACCUCUGGUGUACCAGUUGUCGUGCCAACGGCAUAGCUGGGUAGCUAUGUAUGGACGGGAUAAGUGCUGAAAGCAUCUAAGCAUGAAGCCCCCCUCGAGAUGAGAUUUCCCAACUUCGGUUAUAAGAUCCCUCAAAGAUGAUGAGGUGAAUAGGUUCGAGGUGGAAGCGUAGCGAUACGUGGAGCUGACGAAUACUAAUCGAUCGAAGACUUAAUCAA